UGGCUGAGGUAGAAGAUCUAAUGAUGA
Molecule: non-coding RNA, 27 nt
Filed under: Rattus norvegicus (Norway rat)
Lineage: Eukaryota; Metazoa; Chordata; Mammalia; Rodentia; Muridae
Source: RNAcentral